CCGGCUCCACCGGAACCGGGAUUUUUUUUUUUAGGAAGAGCUCGAUCGAACCGCAAGGCGGAGGAGGAUUUGUGACAGCGCGCAAGGACACGCCUUCUCAUUAAACCGGCAGUUUGUGCGGCUCCACCUUGCCGUCACUGCCGUGUCGUCAGUAGCGAAACGAACCGCACCGCUGCCUCUUCUACAGUAGUUGUUAUACUCCCCUCUACUUAAUUAACCUUGUACGUAUUAUUUUGUCCCCGACGGUUGUGGUGUUCUGCGUCAAAAAUAGCAACAGAGAUGUAAAAGCAAGUUACACUACCGCAUCUUCCUCGUCUUUUGAUAUGCAGCUACUGACAUAACCAGGAGCGCUGGUGACAGUGCAGGGGAAGAUGGACAUCCAGAGUGGCAUACAGAUGGCAAUGGAGACUCUCCCCUCCUUCCCCCAACAGUCGGGUACCCAUCAGCAGAGCGAGCCAGAGGACGGCCAGACAGAGGGGAGUGCCAGGCUUACCGCUGACAAUCACAGCAAGGACACCCAGCCAGCUGCUGGCCACCAAGAUGACAAAGGAAGGCUUCUUCUAAUGCUACAUUUUAAAAAAGGGUUCCAAAAGAGAGAUUUGGCUAUCCCCAUAGGAUAACCCUUUUUUGGUUUUAGGUAGAAUCCUUUUUG
Oncorhynchus tshawytscha (Chinook salmon) is the source of this 652-nucleotide long non-coding RNA. NCBI's taxonomy places the organism in Eukaryota, Metazoa, Chordata, Actinopteri, Salmoniformes, Salmonidae. The record is from Ensembl.